CUGAGGCUACAAACCUUGCUGUCUCCCUUCGAGUCAUUAGGGUCAAGCAGGGCUUUGUUCAGAAACCUGCCACAUUGGGAAAUCGAAAUAUGCAAUCUUAGAAAGUAGUGGAGCAUCUGCAGGCCCCUUUGAGACACUGCAACUAAUCAACCAUGGCUUGGGACUUUGAUACACCAGCCUCUGAUGGACUUUUGCAUCUGUUUAUCCCUGGUCACUGGUUAAAUAUCAUGUAGUGGACAACUCUAUGAAGUGAUAGAGUAAGGGUUUAUCUGCAUUCUGCAGGAUAGGAAUAUUACAUUUAUUUGGUUUUAAACGUAUUCUGAUUUAAUAAAUUAUGGAUUUGUCUGCCUACCAAA
Molecule: long non-coding RNA, 356 nt
Organism: Populus nigra (black poplar)
Lineage: Eukaryota; Viridiplantae; Streptophyta; Magnoliopsida; Malpighiales; Salicaceae
Exons: 2
Source: RefSeq, a predicted model, not a curated record